Molecule: ribosomal RNA, 346 nt
Filed under: uncultured bacterium
Lineage: Bacteria
Description: partial 16S ribosomal RNA
Rfam family: Bacterial small subunit ribosomal RNA
Source: RNAcentral
CCUACGGGUGGCAGCAGUGAGGAAUAUUGGUCAAUGGACGAGAGUCUGAACCAGCCAAGUAGCGUGAAGGAUGACUGCCCUAUGGGUUGUAAACUUCUUGUAUAAAGGAAUAAAACGAGGCACGUGUGCCUUGUUGCAUGUACGUUAUGAAUAAGGAUCGGCUAACUCCGUGCCAGCAGCCGCGGUAAUACGGAGGAUCCGAGCGUUAUCCGGAUUGAUUGGGUUUAAAGGGAGCGUAGAUGGGUUGUUAAGUGCGUUGUGAAAGUUUGCGGCUCAACCGUGAAAUUGCAAUUGAUACUGGCAGUCUUGAGUCCAGUUGAGGUCGGCGGAAUUCGUGGUGUAGCGG